AAACCGACCUCUAAACAAGCUCAACCCCCACACAACUCGCAAUCCACCGGGUUUCCUGUUCAACAAACAACCACCACUGUUACACUGAAAAAGGCGAAAUGCGACCGGAAAAAGUUCAUCUCCGCGAAUUUCGAGAUCUAGCCACGAGCGACGAAGCUCCAAUCAACGAACACCACCACCAAAACUCCUUUUGUUUCUUUUCCUUUUUUCAGCGAGCAGUAGUUUCAAACUCCCCUGAGCCGGAGCAAAGAAGAAGAAAACGCUAGUCCCCAUCCCCUUGUCCCUUUACGAUUUUUCUUGUUUUGCAGGUGUCCAAAUACGAUCAAAUUUGCACCUUGGGGCGAAAUACGAAAACCAGAUGAGCUCCAAUUUGAACCAGUUGUUGGAAACUCUUCCACUCCGGUGACCGUUUUUUUCUUUUUUGCAUUUUAGUACGUAUUUG
This 442-nucleotide unclassified non-coding RNA is filed under the name Hevea brasiliensis (rubber tree). The record is from RNAcentral. Lineage: Eukaryota; Viridiplantae; Streptophyta; Magnoliopsida; Malpighiales; Euphorbiaceae.